AAAAGUAAUAAUAAAUGUAGGUGGUCAAAUAUUUAUUACUAAAAGGAGCACUCUUCAACGAUAUCCAGAAACAAAGUUAUCAAACAUCUCUGAAACCUGUGAACAUUUUGAUGAAACUACUGAAGUGUACUUUUUUGAUAGGAAUCCAUUGAUAUUCCAAUCGGUACUAGACUAUUAUCGAACUGGAAAACUUCAUUUUCUGUCUAACAUCUGCGCAGAACAAAUUCGUGAUGAGCUUGAAUUUUGGGAAAUAUCAACCACUGAUCUUGGCCCAUGUUGUUGGAAAUAUUUCUAUACCGUUGAUAGUGACUUGAAAACCUGCAAUGUUAUCGACAAAUACUUUUUUCAAAACAAGUGUUUUCGUUACAGUUCGAAAAGCCCUCUUAUAAAUAUCAAAAGCAGGAUAUUGAAUGUACUGGAAAAUCCAAGGUCAUCGAAAGUUGCAUUAGUAAGUUUUUAAUGUAGUUAAAAUAAAGUUUGAGACAUUUUUUGGAUAAAUUUAACGAAAUAAAAACAAAAGUCAGAGGCUGGAAGCUUUUAGUCGAUUUAUAGUCAUAAUAGUAUUCUUUGGAACACUUGUACUAUAACAAUAUAACCAAAACAUAUGUGGAGGUUUCUGUUCAGACAAUAAAAACACCUUCAUACCACUAAGAUAACAAAAACAAAUCUCAUUAUUAAAAAUUCAAACGUAUUAGUUAUUACUUCUUGUUUAUAAUAUUUGGUGUAUUCUUCUGAUAAAUAUUUAGCCAACGCUACGUUACUAUUUGUUCUUAAGUUUGUCAGUUACAUAUUUUUAACAUUAAAUUUAUUAUUAUAAUUUGUUUUAGGUAUGGCAGAUAUUUUACCUGAGUGUUGUGUGCCUAGCGAUACUUGUAUCAGUAAUACAAUCAUUUGAGUUGACUGGUAUAAAAACAAAGGAACAUAAAAAUGUUACAGCAGAGGAAAGCAUGAUAGAACGUCUAACUGAUCACGAAAACUGGAUUGGCGUUGUAACUCACAUAUGCAACGUGAUUUUCACAUUAGAAACAGCGCUACGUUUAGCAACUUGUCCGUGCAAAGUAGAUUUUUUUCGAAGCUUUUUAAACAUUGUUGAUAUCAUGUCUGUAUUUGGAUAUUUUGCGCACAUUAUAGUUAGUGCCUUACCAGAUUCAAACGAAUCAGUCUUCAUUUUCUCGUACGCUUUGGUAAUUUUGCGCGGUUUCAGAUUUUUCCGUCUUGAGCGUUUUAUAGAAGGUUUACGUAUAAUGCUUCUGUCGAUAAAACAAAGUAAGAAGAUGUUGUCCCUACUUAUUUUGGUUUUGAUUAUUUCAGCCAUUAUAUUUGGUAUCACUAUACAUAUUGUAGAAAUGAAUGGACCUUUCACAGAUCCAAUCAGCAGUUUUUAUUGGGCUCUCAUCACUAUGACAACAAUCGGUUACGGAGAUAUUUACCCCAAAACAAAAUAUGGACAGAUUUUAGCAUCAGUGUGUGCAACGUUCGGCCUGUUCCUGUUGAGCAUGCCAAUUGCGGUUGUUGCCAAUACUUUCACCGACUUAUACAAAAGAUAUUGUGAACAUCAAUGUCAUUUACUUCUUCAAAGUAAACGAAGCUGGUGUAAAAAUGGAACUACGGAAUUGAUUCCAAUCAAAUACUGAUGCAGAAUUUUGAACUAUUAUUUCAUAAUAUGCUUUUCAGUUACAUAAAACAUUUGAAUAAGAAACAUACUUUAUCGUAUUUCUUAUCUAUUUCAACUAAUAAAAACUAAGCAAA
Molecule: long non-coding RNA, 1749 nt
Filed under: Mytilus galloprovincialis (Mediterranean mussel)
Lineage: Eukaryota; Metazoa; Mollusca; Bivalvia; Mytilida; Mytilidae
Source: RNAcentral